AAAAAAAACGACGGCGAUUCUGUAAUUGGCCCAAAGAAGGAAAAAGGAAGCCGGCCGUCACACACACUCACAGUCACACUCACAGUACCAAUUCCAAGUCCUAAUUUGAAGGCCCUAGCACCACAAAUGUCGUAUUUGGGGCAACGUGGCCAAAGUUUCAUUCACGAUGCGUGACUUGCCCAGCAAGAGGCAAAGAGCAAGCAAAACUACUUCUGUUUUCUUACACCCCUUCAAAUCCCUUCCCUUAUACUUUUUUUUGUGAUUUGCUUUUGAGAGUAAAUAUGUAUUUGAGAUUGGCUUUAAGAAAUUUGAGCUCCAAAACUGGAAUCCUUUCAACUUCAUCAUCAUGUUUGAGUAAAACCUUACCGGAGAUCCAUCGACAACAGCCUUCUCUUCUUCUUCUUCUUCUUCCCAAGGUUUUCGUUGGUGGUGAUGCUUCUUAUGGGAAUUCCCACUCGUUCCACAGCUUCAGGUUUCAAGUUCAGCAAGGUGGGAGUUCUUUAGUCGAGGAGCCAGUGGAUCCAUUUUCUCUUGUUGCUGAUGAACUCUCUCUUAUUGGUAAUCGGCUACGUGAGAUGGUGGUUGCUGAGGUCCCUAAGCUUGCCUCAGCUGCUGAAUACUUCUUCAAGAUGGGGGUAGAGGGAAAGAGGUUUCGUCCCACGGUUCUAUUGUUGAUGGCAUCAGCAUUGAAUGUGUCGCUACCUGGAUCUGUUCCCGAUGCUGUGGCUAAUUUUUCCAAUGAACUCCGUACAAGGCAGCAGUGUAUUACUGAGAUUACCGAGAUGAUUCAUGUUGCAAGUCUUCUUCAUGAUGAUGUCUUGGAUGAUGCUGAUACAAGGCGUGGGGUUCGUUCCCUUAAUUUCUUAAUGGGGAAUAAGCUGUCUGUGCUAGCAGGAGAUUUUCUGCUUUCUCGAGCUUGUGUGGCACUUGCCUCUCUUAAAAAUACAGAGGUUGUCACAUUACUUGCAACGGUUGUUGAGCAUCUUGUAACAGGUGAAACAAUGCAAAUGGCCAGUACAUCAGAACAGCGCUGUAGCAUGGACCAGUAUAUGCAAAAGACAUAUUAUAAGACAGCAUCAUUGAUCGCGAAUAGUUGCAAAGCAAUCGCUCUGCUGGCUGGCCAGGCAACUGAUGUUGCAAUGCUAGCCUACAAUUACGGCCGCAAUCUGGGCUUGGCGUAUCAAUUGAUCGAUGAUGUUCUCGAUUUCACAGGGACGUCAGCUUCUCUCGGAAAGGGUUCGCUUUCUGACAUCCGCCAUGGGAUUAUAACAGCCCCGAUAUUGUUUGCUAUCGAAGAAUUCCCACAAUUACAAGAAGUUAUCAAUCGAGGCUUCAGCGACCCUGCAGAUGUUGAUCUUGCCAUUGAAUACCUUGGUAAGAGUCGCGGCAUACAAAGAGCAAAAGAACUAGCAACCGAACACGCCAACCUGGCAGCCUCAGCCAUCAACUCUCUUCCUCAAAGUGAUGAUGAAAAUGUCAGAAUAUCAAGACGGGCUCUGGUGGACCUCACUCAUAUAGUAAUCACAAGAACAAAGUAGACACAAACAAACUACUCUUCCCAUUCAAACUACAUUAAAAGAAAGCAUGUAAAGCAUACUUCUUAUCAAUUUCUGGGGCCAUUAUUCUGAAAUGAACCAAUUCAGCUGCCAGAGGCCACAUCUAUGCCAAUUGCAUAGCCUCCAACAUUGCCCAUGCUUCAGCCUGCUGUACAAUGGAAGCUCUUUUCAAGGAACUGAGAGGGAGGAGGACUCCAGUGACUACCCAUAAUGUAUCCAACUCCAAGAGGGUUUCUAUGAACAACUGAGUAAACAUGCAAAUGACGACAUGAUACAUAUGAAUGAACAUGAUGGAUGACAGUAUUGUGGUUAGGUGUAAUGUUGUUAAAGAUUACACUGCAUCUAUGUUUCCAUAUAGAAUGCAAAAUGCAGGCUAUUAUAUGCAAAGCCUGAGGAGUGUUCAGAAUAGAGAAGAUAAAAUCCCUGUUCUGCCAGCUUUUAAUCCAAGAGAGGAUAGAAGAUUGCUGCAUAAUGAAAGCAAACUGUUGAGGAAAGAACUUCUGUCAUAAUGCCUUAGUGAAGGGACAAAAGAGCAACAUAUGAUUCAAAUCUUCCUUCU
Papaver somniferum (opium poppy) is the source of this 2115-nucleotide RNA transcript. It is a transcript of the gene named solanesyl diphosphate synthase 3, chloroplastic/mitochondrial-like, with no coding region annotated. NCBI's taxonomy places the organism in Eukaryota, Viridiplantae, Streptophyta, Magnoliopsida, Ranunculales, Papaveraceae. The transcript has 15 exons. The record is from RefSeq and is a predicted model, not a curated record.